GUUGUUCUUCGAUGGAGAUGUUCUAUUUCGGGGUUUUUAUUCACUACUGCGUUGCUGGACGUGUUUAUAUUUUUGAGCGAUAUUAGUUAGAGUACAUCUGGCGUCAACCACCACUUUCUUUCUGGCAACUCUUCAAAGGAAACACAAGUCUACACUUCAAAACUGGUUGUCAAAAAAGGCAAUAAGAGAAAGGAAGAUGAAGGGAUGUAUAUGGGAGAAGAGAGAGAUACGGACGAUUGGACGGCCGGGAGUAUCACCGGCAGCUGCACGUUGACGGGGUAACGAAGCACAAAUCCUGCGCAUCACUGCUCGUCCGCAUUCAGGAUUCAAGGUUAAUGUCAUAUAAUACAGUCAUUGAAAUCCAUUAGUGGAAAUCCCUUUUCCUCUCUCUCUCUCUCUCAAUUGUUGUUCGCAGCUCCGUGUGCUUGAAAUACUUUGCCAUUCGUUUUUUUUUUCUUCAAAAAUCAUUUUCUUUUAUUAUCUUUUUCGACUGAUAAUGACUUGACGUUAACGACAUCGGUUACGAGAAACUCAAAUGGAUUUCGGAAGAUGGGACCGACGCUUCUUGGCCUCUUUACGUAUGGCGGAGCCUCUUCCAUUCAGUUGUCUGGUCUUGCAGCUCAAACAUUCCGUCGUGUAUAUUCUCUUCUUCUUCUUUUUGCGUCGUUACUGUUAAAUUAUAUGUUUUAUCGCAUUUAUAUCUGGCGGGAGUCGAAUGCGUGAAACACUCCCACAUUCGCUUGUCGAUCUCAAGCUGACUGAAAGUGUGCUUUCAGCUAUAUAGUAAAAACACAUUUCACAA
Molecule: long non-coding RNA, 802 nt
Organism: Daphnia pulex (common water flea)
Lineage: Eukaryota; Metazoa; Arthropoda; Branchiopoda; Diplostraca; Daphniidae
Exons: 3
Source: RefSeq, a predicted model, not a curated record